Molecule: RNA transcript, 6396 nt
Organism: Pseudophryne corroboree (corroboree frog)
Lineage: Eukaryota; Metazoa; Chordata; Amphibia; Anura; Myobatrachidae
Exons: 2
Source: RefSeq, a predicted model, not a curated record
GGGACACCCACAUAUGGAUGACCAGGUACGAUUGUGGGACCACCUACCCUUGUCCCUCCCUCCGACGCUGCCUGGUGCUUACUCUUCCCGACCCUGGUGUCACGCUGCUAUCCAUUGCUGUUAUUUGUCAGCUGCCCUAGGAGGUUAGCGAUAGGGUCACUGGCCCUCAUCUCCCCCUCUGCACUGUCUGGGAUGCUGGCCUAGCAACACAAUUUGUCCUACCUGGACCGUGAUAGUUUUCUUUAUAUCUUUCCAUUUUUUACUUAACAUACAGCCGACAAACGUCUGUGUCUCUUUUUGCAUUUGUGAUACCCCGCCUACCCUCUUCACUUUUUCAUAAUGGAGCAAAGAAACAAGAAAAACACGCAGGCCCCACAAAAUCUAAGGGCCCCCCAACUCCUUCAUUGCUCACGGAUUCACCUUCCUCCCCUGCUCAUCGGAGAUGGGUGUUGACCCACAGAUCCAAGCAGUUAUGAUCAGUUUACAUGGAAGGGGUAUAGUCCGCCUUUAAGCAAGAACUUUCCACAGCUAUCGCCGAGUUCAAUUUUGAUCGCACGGCCCUUGGUAAUCGUAUGGACGCUCCUGAUUCGAAGACAGAUGACCUUUGCCGCUCUCAUCAACGUCUUGAUUCGGAGCUCUCCAGACUCCAUGAUGAGCUAGAAGACCUCAAGGAACGUCAAGAAGAUCAAGUAAUCGCUCCCGUCGCAACAAUUUGCACAUCCGCAAUGUGGUGGAAUCAAUCCUUAGCUCUGCACUACCGUCCUUCCUGAAAGACUUCUUUCAACAUGUCUUACCUGACCUUUCAGAUGCUGAUUGUCUAUGUGAUAGAGCCCACAGAGCGCUCCGAGCAAAGCCUGCCCCGACACAGCCGCCCAGGGAUGUCAUAGUUCGUAUACAUUAUUUUAGUUCGAAGGAACGUAUUCUGAUGUCAAUACGAGACUCUCCAGUGAUCGACUUCCGGGAUAUGCAAUUGCAAGUUUUUCAGGAUCUGGCCCCCCUCCACCAUUCAAAAGAGGCGGGACCUCCAGCCUGUUACUCGUAUACUACGCCAACAACAAAUACGAUAUAGAUGGGGAUUUUCCUUCAUGUUACAAGUUACAGCGAACAAUUCUACCUACUCCUUCAAAACCUUAAAUCAAGGUAAGGAUCUGUUGACUAAACUUGGUCUCCUCCCUGUACCGGGACUGCCUCUUCCUCUGGGCCACGACGCUCCCAGAUCCCUCCGCCUGAAUGGACGAGGGUAACUCGUCAUCGCAACGACACCAAUGACCCUCCUUGAUUUUGGCGAACUAUUUUUGGUUACACUUGGACAGUUCUCAACACUUUAGGAAUUUGUCUCCUGACAGGAGGAGACUCUUGCUGUCAUCUUCCAUCUUUUAAUGUCAUGGUCUAUGAUAUUGCCUGGUAAUACUACACUGGGCUUAUCUCGUUUGCCUUGUCUCCCCUUGUCCCCCUUGUUCCCCUUCCCCCCUCCUUUCUUGUUGGUAUGACACAGUACGUUUUUGUUUAUUGUUUUUCAUAUUUUGGGUUACAUUAUUUUAUCUUCGGCUCUGGCCGACUCAACUAUUGCGGUCCAGAGGGACCCGCUUCUCCUGCAUUCGUUUGCUGUUCCCACUACCCCCGUGCUCCCUUUAUUUGCUACUUCGAAGUAUGAUGUUUUAUAUUUGUGUAGCGGUCCUUGAUUGGGACCCUAUAAUUCAGGGUUUUCUCCCGUAUGGGUUCCUCUAUCACUUUCUUUUCUCCUAUAUUUCUGAUUCUUGUUUUUUGCUGUUCUUCUUCUUUCCUUUUCCUUCUUCCCCGGGACGGGUUUCCACUGCUCCUCUUUUGUUCUUUGGUAUCACAUGGCGCUUAAAUUGUUUUCUAUAAAUGUAAACGGGUUUAUUUCUCCCCAGAAAUGUACUGUGAUGUUGUCCGCCUGUCGGAGAGAGAAGGCUGAUAUAGUUUUCCUCCAAGAGACCCACUUCGCCGGUACACACUCUCAACUUCAUGGUUGUAUAUUUUGACUACAAAAAGAGAGGCGGCCCCACAGUACGUGAAAGACCUAAUAUUCAUUACAUACCAAAGGUUUGUUAAAACAGAGUUGCUAAAAUUAGACUCAAGAAGAACACACCUGACAAAUAGGUGGUAACCAACGGAUGACGUAAUUCUCUGCUUUGGGGCAUCGCUGCGUUCCCAGUACUACUUUCAAUGCCAACAUUUCUGAAAACAUUAUUGAAUCAACUCCCCAGGAGAUGUUUAUCGUGAAGGUUCCAUAGAUUCUUCUGAGCUAAUGCUGGUAGAUCGCAGUACUCCAAGAGGAGCUUUAUUCACUCAGAUGGAAUUAAGACAUGCCCUUGGGGCACUAGUGAAAAGACAUUGCUCCAAUACACCGACUCUCUCAAACAGAGAACCGCUUUACAGGAGGAGAUCAUAUUAAUACUAUAGGGAAGGAAGGUUUAGGACCUAUACAUUCUGGUCUGGGAAAAAAAGUUAGAAGAGUGGACCUGUCACAGUGGAGGCAUCUAUACACCCUAUCAAAUCGGCUUCCAUGACAUGACGGAGACAUUGUCUGACUAAUAUUAAUGAGGCCCGACUAAUAUUCAUGAUGUACUGGUCCCUAGUGAAUUUCACCAUUGUCUAGUGACUAGAUCGGCUGCACACUCACGAAUACUAGUUUAGACCACAAUAUGGCUUCCUCCACUGUGUGCAAUAUACUUUAAAUGUCACAUAGGAAUAAGGAUCAUUAGAACGAUGGAAAUAGGUCGUCCCAUUUUUUACUCCUGUGCAACGCACUGUGCACUGUCUCCAUCCCUUUGUUCUGUGCAUACAUGCUCGGCAUUAAGACCUAGAGUCUGCAGGGAGGUGUGAACUCCAACCUGAUGUGCUACUGCUCAUGUGCAUACUGCUUCCAUCUUUACAGUGUAAGAGUGUAACAGUACUGCACAUGUAGCUCUUGAGGAGAGACACCUAUAAACUGCAAUACCCUGUGUUUGAUACUACUGCUGUUAAUCCCUGCAUUACCACUAUGUUCAGACAUUUUCCUGGACCAAUCUUGGUAUGGACUCUCUGUGUAGCCUAACAGUCACUUUAACAUCCGCUGUGCCCCUAUUGUGAUCACCAUGCCAAUAGGCUAUAUAUCAACAUGGUGUACAUGGCAGAACUGAGCUUAUGAAAUGUAAGAGACACACUUAGCAGUGACUAAAUAGGAAAUAUUUUGGAUUUGGAAAAUUAAUUAGGAUAAAGUAGUCAGAAUAUUAGAAAGAGCUUCAGAAGUCAGCCGAAAAUGUUAUUUCUGAAGAAAAUCCAAACUAGCGAGUGAUUCCUUACUCAACGUUUUCCAAACAGACACUGUCCACAUCCGAAGUUACAUGUAUGUAAUAGACACAAACUUACAGAAACAAAAAACAAAUAGGAGUAGUACAAGAUAGAAUAAAUAUAAGUGUUGAAACGUCCAAAACAUACUAAAUAAAGCAAUGGGAAAUGCUUUUGGGCACCCACUGCCAAGUUACAAAUUAUUUUCUGUAUGCCACACACAUUGUAUUCUAAACUCCCAACACAAGUUGCUACAUUUCAUUUUCAUAUCUGGAAUGUGUAUGAUUUAGCAUAGAAUAAACAAGGAGACAUGGUGUGAUGAUUCCCACAAUGGGGUAGCUAACCUGGAGGGUUAUAUUCUUUUCAGGAGAGACAGGCCUAUUAAAGAGGGGGUGGUGUAUGUCUUUAUGUUAAACCAUUUCUAAAACCAUACUUAAAAGGAGGGAAUUUAUGAGGGAACUGGAGAUAUUGUGGAGACAUUAUGGGUUGAAAUUUCUAUGGGAAAGAAAAGUACAAAAAAACUUUUAAUAGGGACAUGAUAUUAGUGUGACUGAGGAAGCGCAACUCUUGAUGCAAAUCGAGAAAGCUACAGGGCUGGGGGAGGUCCUAAUCAUUGGGGUCUUUAAUUAUCCGGACAUAAAUUGGGCCAGCGAAUCAUGUAAUACAGCUAGGGGUAAAAGGUUCUAAAAUAUGCUAAAGGAUAACUACUUGUCACAAAUAGUCGAGGAACCAACCAGAGUUGGGACUAUACUGGACCUGGUACUAACUAACAUGGAGAUAAUAGCGAAUACCGCAGUAGGCGAAAUCUUGGGUAACAGUGAUCAUAAUAUGAUCACAUUCAACAUUAGCAUUCAAAAGCAGCAAUCUAAGGGUACAACUAAGACUCUUAACUUUAAAAAAUCAAUUUUUAACAUGCUUAAAUACGCACUAAAGGACAUAGAUUGGGGAACUUUGUGUCAGGAGAAGAACACUGCCGAAAUGUGGGAUGUUUUUAAAACGAUGCUAGACAAAUAUACCCAUAAGUGCAUACCCUUGGGCAGUAAAAAUAAGAGUAUUAAAUUCAAAGCAAUGUGGUUAAACAAAAAAGUAAAGGAAGAAAUGGUUAAAAGAGGAGAGCAUUCAAAGCUUUCAAAUCAGACGGGAAGGUGGAGUCAUUCCAGUACUACAAGGAAUGUAACAAAAACAUGCAAAAAGGAAAUCAGAGCAGCUAAAAUAGAAAAUGAAAAGCAAACCUCUAAGGAGAGUAAAACUAACCCUAAAAAAUGCUUUAAGCACAUAAAUGGUAAGAGGCUAAAAAAAAAAAAAAGAGAGAAUAUAGGACCAUUAAAAAGCGAACUGGGAUUACUGAUAAAUGACAACAAAGAAUAAGCUGAAAUAUUGAACACAUUUUUCUCAGUGUUUACUAGAGAGUACCAGAUUGUGGGAUCAGUGAGUAACAAUAACAAUAGUAUUGAUAAAGGCCCAUUGCUAAUACUUAUCUGUCUGAGGAAGUAGUCCGUAAACGAUGAAAAAAAAAAAUCAACACUAAUAAAUCUCCUGGUCCAGAUGGUCUACAUCCUAGGGUUCUGAAAUAGCAAGGCCACUGUAUCUGAUUUUCACUAACUCACUUCAAAUCAGGCAUGGUACCAAAGGACUGACGUAUAGCAGAUAUAGUCCCAAUAUUUAAAAAGGGUAUUAAACGUCAUCCUGGUAACUAUAGACCGGUUAGUCUGACAUCAAUAGUGGGGAAUCUAUUGGAAAGUAUACUAUGGUACAGCAUACAGGAUUACUUGGAGAACUCCCAUGCUAUUAAUAAGAACUAGCAUGGUUUUGUGAGAAAUAGGUCAUGCCAAACUAAUUUGAUUAGCUUCUAUAAGAUAGUAUGCAACAAUCUCGACCAGGGUAAUGCAGAUGACGUGGUUUAUCUAGAUUUUGCAAAAACUUUCAACACAGUACCUCACAGGAGGCUGACUUUCAAAUUAAGGGAGCUCGGUAUAGGAGACACUAUUUGUACAUGGGUGAGUAAUUGGCUUGAUAACAGGGAACAGCGAGUGGUGAUUAAUGGGAUUUAUUCUACCUGGUCUAAAGUAAUUAGUGGAAUACCGCAGGGUUCUGUGCUGGGGCCACUAUUGUUUAAUAUAUUUAUUAAUGAUUUAGAAGAAGGACUAGAAAGCACAUUGUCAAUUUUUGCAGAUGAUACUAAAAUAUGUAGGGUAAUCAAGUCAGAUGUGGAGUCUCUUCAGAGUGAUUUAUUUAAACUGGAAGUUUGGGCAAUGAAAUGGCGUAUGAGGUUUCAUGUGGAAAAAUGUAAAGUUAUGCACUUUGGGACUAAGAAUAAACAUGCAAGCUACCAAUUAAAUGGGGGAAAAAUAGGGGAAACUAUUAGAAAAGUAUUUGGGGGUGCUCAUUUGAUAGUAGAUUUAGCAGCAACACACAAUGUCAAAAUGCAGCAACAAAGGCAAAUAAGAUGUUAACAUGCAUUAAAAAGGAGAAUUGAGACAAGGGAUGAGAGCGUAAUCCUGCCACUGUAGAAAUCAUUGGUACGGCCACGUCUUGAGUAUUGUGUACAGUUCUGGGCACCACAGUAUAAGAGAGAAAUUAGAACUUGAAAAGGUUCAGAGGCGAGCUACCAAAUUGAUUAAGGGGUUGGAGACACUGGACUAUGAGGAGAGGCUUUCUAGGUUAGAUAUGUUUACACUAGAAAUGAGACGACUAAGAGGAAAUAUGAUUAAUCUUUACAAAUAUAUAAAGGGGCACAAUGCUGAGCUAUCAUGUGAGUUAUUUACUAAGAGACCUCUACACAAACCGCGCGGACACUCGUUAAGGCUUGAGGAGAAGAAAUUUCGUACUCCGCGCAGGAAGGGAUUCUUCACUGUAAGGGCAAUAUGAAUAUGGAAUACACUGCCAGAGAAGGUUGUAAUGGCGGACUCAAUGAGUUUAAAAAUGGGUUAGACAAAUUUCUAACGGGAAAAGCUAUACGAGGAUAUAGCCUUUAAUCUAAAUAGAUUAGGGAAUACAAUAUAAUUCUGGUGGAACUCUAUGGACUAUCAUCUUUUUUCAACCUCACCGACAAUGUUACUAUGUAAGAAUAUUCAAGAGGAACUAAAGCCACUUCUCACCUUUCUC